GACGAACGCUGGCGGCGUGCUUAACACAUGCAAGUCGAACGGAAAGGCCCUGCUUUUGUGGGGUGCUCAAGUGGCGAACGGGUGAGUAACACGUGAGUAACCUGCCCUUGACUUUGGGAUAACUUCAGGAAACUGGGGCUAAUACCGGAUAGGAGCUCCUGCUGCAUGGUGGGGGUUGGAAAGUUUCGGCGGUUGGGGAUGGACUCGCGGCUUAUCAGCUUGUUGGUGGGGUAGUGGCUUACCAAGGCUUUGACGGGUAGCCGGCCUGAGAGGGUGACCGGCCACAUUGGGACUGAGAUACGGCCCAGACUCCUACGGGAGGCAGCAGUGGGGAAUAUUGCACAAUGGGCGGAAGCCUGAUGCAGCAACGCCGCGUGCGGGAUGACGGCCUUCGGGUUGUAAACCGCUUUCGCCUGUGACGAAGCGUGAGUGACGGUAAUGGGUAAAGAAGCACCGGCUAACUACGUGCCAGCAGCCGCGGUGAUACGUAGGGUGCGAGCGUUGUCCGGAUUUAUUGGGCGUAAAGGGCUCGUAGGUGGUUGAUCGCGUCGGAAGUGUAAUCUUGGGGCUUAACCCUGAGCGUGCUUUCGAUACGGGUUGACUUGAGGAAGGUAGGGGAGAAUGGAAUUCCUGGUGGAGCGGUGGAAUGCGCAGAUAUCAGGAGGAACACCAGUGGCGAAGGCGGUUCUCUGGGCCUUUCCUGACGCUGAGGAGCGAAAGCGUGGGGAGCGAACAGGCUUAGAUACCCUGGUAGUCCACGCUGUAAACGGUGGGUACUAGGUGUGGGGUCCAUUCCACGGGUUCCGUGCCGUAGCUAACGCUUUAAGUACCCCGCCUGGGGAGUACGGCCGCAAGGCUAAAACUCAAAGGAAUUGACGGGGCCCCGCACAAGCGGCGGAGCAUGCGGAUUAAUUCGAUGCAACGCGUAGAACCUUACCUGGGUUUGACAUGGAUCGGGAGUGCUCAGAGAUGGGUGUGCCUCUUUUGGGGUCGGUUCACAGGUGGUGCAUGGCUGUCGUCAGCUCGUGUCGUGAGAUGUUGGGUUAAGUCCCGCAACGAGCGCAACCCUUGUUCACUGUUGCCAGCACGUUAUGGUGGGGACUCAGUGGAGACCGCCGGGGUCAACUCGGAGGAAGGUGGGGAUGACGUCAAGUCAUCAUGCCCCUUAUGUCCAGGGCUUCACGCAUGCUACAAUGGCUGGUACAGAGAGUGGCGAGCCUGUGAGGGUGAGCGAAUCUCGGAAAGCCGGUCUCAGUUCGGAUUGGGGUCUGCAACUCGACCUCAUGAAGUCGGAGUCGCUAGUAAUCGCAGAUCAGCAACGCUGCGGUGAAUACGUUCCCGGG
RNAcentral lists this ribosomal RNA (1343 nucleotides) under uncultured bacterium. Its description in RNAcentral is "16S ribosomal RNA". It matches the Rfam family "Bacterial small subunit ribosomal RNA", at positions 28 to 1378 of the family's 1533-position model. The record is from RNAcentral.